This 431-nucleotide long non-coding RNA is filed under the name Mus musculus (house mouse). Its description in RNAcentral is "growth arrest specific 5". Lineage: Eukaryota; Metazoa; Chordata; Mammalia; Rodentia; Muridae. The record is from RNAcentral.
GCCUUUCGGAGCUGUGCGGCAUUCUGAGCAGGAAUGGCAGUGUGGACCUCUGUGAUGGGACAUCUUGUGGGAUCUCACAGCCAGUUCUGUGGCAAAGGAGGAUGAAGGCUUACGAGGACUCGUCAGGAAGCUGGAUAACAGAGCGAGCGCAAUGUGGAGUUUGAGGCUGGAUAGACAGUUUGAAAGGUACAAAUAAUGGUUUGAAUAAAGAAAGGUAUUAAUGGGUCACCUCAAGUGAAGGCACUGCAAACACAAUGAUUGGUCAUUCUGAAUUUCCGGUCCUUCAUUCUGAAUUUCAAAGGCUCCUGUGACAAGUGGACAUGCAGUGACUGCACCUUUGUUUCUGAGGUGCCUGGAUGGAGGCUCAAAUAGAAGAUGGUGUCAGAUAUAUUGUGUUAAAAUUUUACCAUUAAAGUGUAUUAUAACAUGAA